GUGUCAGCAGCCGCGGUAAUACGAAGGGGGCUAGCGUUGCUCGGAAUUACUGGGCGUAAAGGGCGCGUAGGCGGACAGUUAAGUUGGGGGUGAAAGCCCGGGGCUCAACCUCGGAAAUGCCUUCAAUACUGGCUGUCUUGAGUACGGGAGAGGUGAGUGGAACUCCGAGUGUAGAGGUGAAAUUCGUAGAUAUUCGGAAGAACACCAGUGGCGAAGGCGACUCACUGGCCCGUUACUGACGCUGAGGCGCGAAAGCGUGGGGAGCAAACAGGAUUAGAUACCCUGGUAGUCCACGCCGUAAACGAUGAGUGCUAGUUGUCGGCAUGCAUGCAUGUCGGUGACGCAGCUAACGCAUUAAGCACUCCGCCUGGGGAGUACGGUCGCAAGAUUAAAACUUAAAUGAAUUGACGGGG
This 413-nucleotide ribosomal RNA is filed under the name uncultured prokaryote. RNAcentral's name for it is "bacterial SSU rRNA". It matches the Rfam family "Bacterial small subunit ribosomal RNA", at positions 505 to 918 of the family's 1533-position model. The record is from RNAcentral.